CUUGGCAUGAUGUGAUCAGAGAUGACAUCACGUUGUUCUUGGGACAGGCAACCAGCACUUGCAUCACCAAAUCCUCGCUCACCCUGGCAUCUCCUUUUCGCUGAGUUACGAUCUUCCUCUCUGUUGUCAUCUCCCUGCUCUGCCAUGCUCCUAAAGGACCACUUCAGGGCUGAUUUCUGACUGGCUGCAACCUCUCUUAGGAGAAAAGGACCCGGACGUGGCUGGGCUUCCACGCAAGAAAGCAAAUAACCAUCAGAAGUCCUUCUACUUCUGUGUCUGUGAAGAAGGAGAUGCUGUGUUCCUAAGGCGGUUCAUCCAAGUCCCAGAGGCAGCACAGCAAGGCUG
RNAcentral lists this long non-coding RNA (345 nucleotides) under Dromaius novaehollandiae (emu). RNAcentral describes it as "lncRNA (ENSDNVG00000015541.1)". The record is from RNAcentral. Lineage: Eukaryota; Metazoa; Chordata; Aves; Casuariiformes; Dromaiidae.